This 428-nucleotide ribosomal RNA is filed under the name uncultured prokaryote. Its description in RNAcentral is "bacterial SSU rRNA". It matches the Rfam family "Bacterial small subunit ribosomal RNA", at positions 355 to 774 of the family's 1533-position model. The record is from RNAcentral.
UAGGGAAUCUUCCGCAAUGGGCGAAAGCCUGACGGAGCGACGCCGCGUGAGCGAAGAAGGCCUUCGGGUCGUAAAGCUCUGUUGUGAGGGACGAAGGAGCGCCGUUCGAAGAGGGCGGCGCGGUGACGGUACCUCACGAGAAAGCCCCGGCUAACUACGUGCCAGCAGCCGCGGUAAUACGUAGGGGGCGAGCGUUGUCCGGAAUUAUUGGGCGUAAAGCGCGCGCAGGCGGUCUCUUAAGUCUGAUGUGAAAGCCCACGGCUCAACCGUGGAGGGUCAUUGGAAACUGGGGGACUUGAGGGCAGGAGAGGAGAGCGGAAUUCCACGUGGAGCGGUGAAAUGCGUAGAGAUGUGGAGGAACACCAGUGGCGAAGGCGGCUCUCUGGCCUGCACCUGACGCUGAGGCGCGAAAGCGUGGGGAGCAAACA